ACGAACGCUGGCGGCGUGCUUCACCCAUGCAAGUCGCACGGAAAGGCCCUGCUUUUGUGGGGUGCUCGAGUGGCGAACGGGUGAGUAACACGUGAGUAACCUGCCCUUGACUUUGGGAUAACUUCAGGAAACUGGGGCUAAUACCGGAUAGGAGCUCCUGCUGCAUGGUGGGGGUUGGAAAGUUUCGGCGGUUGGGGAUGGACUCGCGGCUUAUCAGCUUGUUGGUGGGGUAGUGGCUUACCAAGGCUUUGGCGGGUAGCCGGCCUGAGAGGGUGACCGGCCACAUUGGGACUGAGAUACGGCCCAGACUCCUACGGGAGGCAGCAGUGGGGAAUAUUGCACAAUGGGCGGAAGCCUGAUGCAGCAACGCCGCGUGCGGGAUGACGGCCUUCGGGUUGUAAACCGCUUUCGCCUGUGACGAAGCGUGAGUGACGGUAAUGGGUAAAGAAGCACCGGCUAACUACGUG
Molecule: ribosomal RNA, 467 nt
Filed under: uncultured bacterium
Lineage: Bacteria
Description: partial 16S ribosomal RNA
Rfam family: Bacterial small subunit ribosomal RNA
Source: RNAcentral